Small nuclear RNA from Oryctolagus cuniculus (rabbit), 152 nucleotides. Its record names the gene U2. It matches the Rfam family "U2 spliceosomal RNA". From Rfam's summary of the family: U2 is a small nuclear RNA (snRNA) component of the spliceosome (involved in pre-mRNA splicing). Lineage: Eukaryota; Metazoa; Chordata; Mammalia; Lagomorpha; Leporidae. The record is from Ensembl.
AUUGCUUCACAGCCUUCUGGCUAAGAUCAAGUGUAGUACCUGUUCUUAUCAGUUUAAACAAAAAAGGGUAAGUUUCCUUCCAGUGUCCAAUACUAUAGUCUUCAUUUUUGUUUGAAACGUCAUCAAAAUGGCCCUUACUAUUUCUACCAAUA